GAUGAACGCUGGCGGCGUGCCUAAUACAUGCAAGUCGAGCGAACAGACGAGGAUCUUGCUCCUCUGACGUUAGCGACGGACGGGUGAGUAACACGUGGAUAACCUACCUAUAAGACUGGGAUAACUUCGGGAAACCGGAGUAAAUACCGGAUAAUAUAUUGAACCGCAGGGGUCAGUAGUGAAAGACGGUUUUGCUGUCACUUAUCGACGGAUCCGCGCCUCAUUAGGUAGUUGGUAAGGUAACGGCUUACCAAGGCAACGAUGCGUAGCCGAGCUGAGAGGGGGAUCCGCCACACUGGAGCUGAGACACGGUCCAGACUCCUACGGGAGGCAGCAGUAGGGAAUCUUCCGAAAUGGGCGAAAGCCUGACGGAGCAACGCCGCGUGAGUGAUGAAGGUCUGCGGAUCGUAAAACUGUCUUAGUAGGGAAGAACAAAUGUGUAAGUAACUAUGCACGUCUUGACGGUACCUGAUCAGAAAGCCACGGCUAACUACGUG
This 497-nucleotide ribosomal RNA is filed under the name uncultured bacterium. RNAcentral's name for it is "partial 16S ribosomal RNA". It matches the Rfam family "Bacterial small subunit ribosomal RNA", at positions 28 to 507 of the family's 1533-position model. The record is from RNAcentral.